AACGAACGCUGGCGGCAUGCCUAACACAUGCAAGUCGAACAAUGCUUUCGGGCAUAGUGGCGCACGGGUGCGUAACGCGUGGGAAUCUGCCCUGGGGUUCGGGAUAACAGCGGGAAACUGCUGCUAAUACCGGAUGAUAUCGCGAGAUCAAAGAUUUAUCGCCCUGGGAUGAGCCCGCGUCGGAUUAGGUAGUUGGUGGGGUAAGAGCCUACCAAGCCGACGAUCCGUAGCUGGUCUGAGAGGAUGAUCAGCCACACUGGGACUGAGACACGGCCCAGACUCCUACGGGAGGCAGCAGUGGGGAAUAUUGGACAAUGGGCGCAAGCCUGAUCCAGCAAUGCCGCGUGAGUGAUGAAGGCCUUAGGGUUGUAAAGCUCUUUUACCCGGGAUGAUAAUGACAGUACCGGGAGAAUAAGCCCCGGCUAACUCCGUG
RNAcentral lists this ribosomal RNA (433 nucleotides) under uncultured bacterium. Its description in RNAcentral is "partial 16S ribosomal RNA". It matches the Rfam family "Bacterial small subunit ribosomal RNA", at positions 29 to 507 of the family's 1533-position model. The record is from RNAcentral.